This is a non-coding RNA of Columba livia (rock pigeon), 72 nucleotides long. The record is from the annotation of a RefSeq genome assembly. NCBI's taxonomy places the organism in Eukaryota, Metazoa, Chordata, Aves, Columbiformes, Columbidae.
GGUCCCAUGGUGUAAUGGUGAGCACUCUGCACUCUGAAUCCACUGGUCUGAGUUCAAAUCUCAGUGGGACCU